Molecule: long non-coding RNA, 304 nt
Filed under: Elaeis guineensis (African oil palm)
Lineage: Eukaryota; Viridiplantae; Streptophyta; Magnoliopsida; Arecales; Arecaceae
Description: long non-coding RNA (EGUI_LNC047430)
Source: RNAcentral
UUAUCCAGCGAGUUCAGGGAGAAGUGGAAGAUGAGUCCUCUUUGGACUCGCCUCUCCUUUCUUGUUUUCCCGACACGUGCUGGCCCUAAGAUUUUCCAUUUUUUGUUGCUGGUUCAUACUAUAUUUUUGGGUUGGGGUAUCACAUACUUGAUGCCAUCUAAUAAAUCUUUGGAGAUACCCUUAAUUUCUUUUAAGAAACCCUUGGAGGUAGCUUGAACUAAUGUUGGAGUUGUAGAUGAACAUCACAAAUCUAAUAACGAAUACCUUAAUUUCUUCUUUCUUCCUUUUUGCUCUAAUCCUUACC